Molecule: ribosomal RNA, 495 nt
Filed under: uncultured bacterium
Lineage: Bacteria
Description: partial 16S ribosomal RNA
Rfam family: Bacterial small subunit ribosomal RNA
Source: RNAcentral
GACGAACGCUGGCGGCGUGCCUAAUACAUGCAAGUAGAACGCUGAAGGAGGAGCUUGCUUCUCUGGAUGAGUUGCGAACGGGUGAGUAACGCGUAGGUAACCUGCCUGGUAGCGGGGGAUAACUAUUGGAAACGAUAGCUAAUACCGCAUAACAGUAGAUAUCGCAUGAUAUCUACUUGAAAGGUGCAAUUGCAUCACUACCAGAUGGACCUGCGUUGUAUUAGCUAGUUGGUGAGGUAACGGCUCACCAAGGCGACGAUGCAUAGCCGACCUGAGAGGGUGAUCGGCCACACUGGGACUGAGACACGGCCCAGACUCCUACGGGAGGCAGCAGUAGGGAAUCUUCGGCAAGGGACGGAAGUCUGACCGAGCAACGCCGCGUGAGUGAAGAAGGUUUUCGGAUCGUAAAGCUCGGUUGUAAGAGAAGAACGAGUGUGAGAGUGGAAAGUUCACACUGUGACGGUAUCUUACCAGAAAGGGACGGCUAACUACGUG